ACGGCGAAUUCGUAAUAAUUCAAACGAUUUAACCAAGUGGCUAAAUCGUAUGAAAUCAUACGAGCUGGCUCGUACGAAAUCGUACGAUUAGUUCAUCGCAUUUAACACAGCCCUGUGUUGCAGGGAUUUCGUGCUAAUUAAUACGAAUAGAUUAAAUCGUACUAUACCAUACGAUUUUGUUCAUCGCAUUCAAGAAGCGUGACCCGUAGCCAGAAAAAAACUCUGGGUGUGCAUCUGAAAAUCUGCGUGUGUCACAGGCAAGAUAAGCAGAAACGCUGGGGAAUUCAGGUGCUGUAAAUCCGGUGGACAGGACUCAUCUCGUUAUAGAUCAAGAUAAUUUAUAAAGAUCUUUAAACGAAGGAUUGGAGUAUCAGAUAGUUGACAUGGUGUACGCCCCUGCCGUGACCCAAAUCUCGUCCGCACAUCAUCGCGAUAUGUAUCAUCUGUUUACAAACGUCGCCACUCGUUUCUUCACAUACAUCUCAUGCUCCUCCAUCUACACGCUCCACAACAUUUAAACCAACGGCUCUUUUAAGAGCCAUCACUUGCAAAAGCUCUCGUACUCGCUCUCCUACUCACUCACUCACUCACUCUCCAACUCACUCACUCUUCUAUAGGGCUGUGCAAAAUAUGUAUAUGCUUUGAAAUAGUUGCAGCUUCCUGGCAUAACUGGUCAAAACCUGAAGAUGCCAUAUUGAAGAAAAGAAAGAAUGCAAAGAGAAAUAGGCAAAACAAAUUGAAAGAGGGACAAACAGAGAGAGGGGGGAGAGUGAGAGAGAGUGAGUGAGUGAGUGUGUGUGUAUAC
Paramisgurnus dabryanus is the source of this 805-nucleotide long non-coding RNA. RefSeq lists it as uncharacterized. The record is from RefSeq and is a predicted model, not a curated record. NCBI's taxonomy places the organism in Eukaryota, Metazoa, Chordata, Actinopteri, Cypriniformes, Cobitidae.